This 413-nucleotide ribosomal RNA is filed under the name uncultured Methanomicrobiales archaeon. RNAcentral describes it as "bacterial SSU rRNA". It matches the Rfam family "Archaeal small subunit ribosomal RNA", at positions 926 to 1338 of the family's 1478-position model. The record is from RNAcentral. Lineage: Archaea; Methanobacteriati; Methanobacteriota; Methanomicrobia; Methanomicrobiales.
CUCACCAGUUAAGACAGCUGAAUGAUAGUCGGGCUGAAGACUCUACUUGACUAGCUGAGAGGAGGUGCAUGGCCGUCGUCAGUUCGUACUGUGAAGCAUCCUGUUAAGUCAGGCAACGAGCGAGACCCACGCCAACAGUUGCCAGCUCGUCCUCCGGGAUGGAGGGGACACUGUUGGGACCGCCUCUGCUAAAGAGGAGGAAGGAAUGGGCAACGGUAGGUCAGCAUGCCCCGAAUUAAUUGGGCUACACGCGGGCUACAAUGGGUGGGACAAUGGGUAUCGACACCGAAAGGUGAAGGCAAUCUCCUAAACCCAUCCGUAGUUCGGAUUGUGGGCUGCAACUCGCCCACAUGAAGCUGGAAUCUGUAGUAAUCGUGUCUCAAAAUGGCACGGUGAAUAUGUCCCUGCUCCUU